AGAUUGAACGCUGGCGGCAGGCCUAACACAUGCAAGUCGAGCGGCAGCACGGGUACUUGUACCUGGUGGCGAGCGGCGGACGGGUGAGUAAUGCCUAGGAAUCUGCCUGGUAGGUGGGGAUAACGCUACGGAAACGGCGCUAAUACCGCAUACGUCCUACGGGAGAAGCAGGGACCUUCGGGCCUUGCGCUAUCAGAUGAGCCUAGGUCGAUUAGCUAGGUGGUGGGUAAUGGCUCGACCAAGGCGACGAUCCGUAACUGGUCUGAGAGGAUGACCAGUCACGACUGGAACUGACGGACCACGGUCCACGACGUCCGUACGGGAGCAGCGAGGUGGGAAUAGUUAGGAACAAGUGGGACCAAAGCCUAGACUACCGAGCCAUCGCCGCGGUGUAGGUA
This 398-nucleotide ribosomal RNA is filed under the name uncultured soil bacterium. RNAcentral describes it as "bacterial SSU rRNA". It matches the Rfam family "Bacterial small subunit ribosomal RNA", at positions 26 to 409 of the family's 1533-position model. The record is from RNAcentral.